This 767-nucleotide small RNA is filed under the name Pan troglodytes (chimpanzee). RNAcentral describes it as "retained intron". The record is from RNAcentral. Lineage: Eukaryota; Metazoa; Chordata; Mammalia; Primates; Hominidae.
UAUUACGUAAUUAAAAUAUCUACUUCAUAAACACUAUGGUGGCAGCUCAUUUGCUAAGAACUCAUCAGCUGAGAACCUGUUGACUCAGUUGAGGAAGCCUUCCUCUGGUACAUCACGUUGCUGUUCUUUUAUUAUAAAACUAUAUAUAUAUAUAUGAGUUCAGCCCUAGAGAAAGUGUGAAAUAAACUGGUUGAAACAAACUGGGUUUAUUUUGCAUUUUUAAUAUCUACUUUGUAAGGUUGAUUAAAUGUCUCACAACUAUGUCUUUUUCAGCUACAAAGAAUUUUUCUCAUUUGGCUUUCUUUUACAUAAAUAGGUUUUACAGAAGGCGACACAUGUUGUUCAGAGUGAAGUGGACAAAUGUGUAGAUGAUAUUAUGAAGGAAAAGAAUAUUAACCCUGAGAAGGAUGCCAGUUUUAAAAUCUGCAUGAAGAUGUGCUUACUGCAGAUAACUGGUUAUAAACAGCUGUAUUUGGAUGUAGAAAGUGUGAGGAAAAGGCCAUAUGAUUCUGAUAACCUACAGCAUGAAGAGCUACUCAUGAAGCUUUGGAAUCUUCUAAUGCCCACGAAGAAGUUAAACGCUAGAAUCUCCAAGCAGUGGGCUGAAAUUGGUUUUCAGGGUGAUGAUCCCAAGACAGACUUCAGAGGCAUGGGCAUACUUGGAUUAAUCAAUCUUGUGUAUUUCAGUGAAAAUUACACUAGUGAAGCUCAUCAGAUUCUUUCCCGUUCAAAUCAUCCAAAAUUAGGGUAUUCUUAUGCAAUAGUUG